CGGAAACGAAGAGGUGCUUGCACCUCUGGCGUCGAGCGGCGGACGGGUGAGUAAUGCUUGGGAAUAUGCCUUAUGGUGGGGGACAACAGUUGGAAACGACUGCUAAUACCGCAUAGUGUCUACGGACCAAAGUGGGGGACCUUCGGGCCUCACGCCAUAAGAUUAGCCCAAGUGGGAUUAGCUAGUUGGUGAGGUAAUGGCUCACCAAGGCGACGAUCCCUAGCUGGUUUGAGAGGAUGAUCAGCCACACUGGGACUGAGACACGGCCCAGACUCCUACGGGAGGCAGCAGUGGGGAAUAUUGCACAAUGGGCGCAAGCCUGAUGCAGCCAUGCCGCGUGUGUGAAGGAGGCCUUCGGGUUGUAAAGCACUUUCAGUAAGGAGGAAAGGUUAAGUGUUAAUAGCACUUAGCUGUGACGUUACUUACAGAAGAAGCACCGGCUAACUCCGUGCCAGCAGCCGCGGUAAUACGGAGGGUGCGAGCGUUUAUCGGAAUUACUGCGCGUAAAGCGUACGCAGGCGGUUUGUUAAGCGAGAUGUGGAAGCCCCGGGCU
Molecule: ribosomal RNA, 553 nt
Filed under: uncultured bacterium
Lineage: Bacteria
Description: bacterial SSU rRNA
Rfam family: Bacterial small subunit ribosomal RNA
Source: RNAcentral